GUAAUGCAUCAGGAACGUUAAUAGCGUACCAACCGACUUCCUCGAAGCACGGUGGUUUAGAAUGCGGGAACUCUCCAAAAAUUAACGAGUCA
Molecule: non-coding RNA, 92 nt
Filed under: Formosa sp. Hel1_33_131
Lineage: Bacteria; Pseudomonadati; Bacteroidota; Flavobacteriia; Flavobacteriales; Flavobacteriaceae
Also listed under: 1 other name
Description: SAM-I/IV (S-adenosyl methionine) riboswitch aptamer
Rfam family: SAM-I/IV (S-adenosyl methionine) riboswitch aptamer
About the family: It is found upstream of a number of genes which code for proteins involved in methionine or cysteine biosynthesis. It has been found mostly in the order Actinomycetales.
Source: Rfam by way of RNAcentral